Molecule: ribosomal RNA, 904 nt
Filed under: uncultured bacterium
Lineage: Bacteria
Description: bacterial SSU rRNA
Rfam family: Bacterial small subunit ribosomal RNA
Source: RNAcentral
AGAGUUUGAUCCUGGCUCAGGAUGAACGCUAGCGGCAGGCCUAAUACAUGCAAGUCGAGGGGUAGUGGAGCUUGCUCCAUGAGACCGGCGCACGGGUGCGUAACGCGUAUGCAACCUACCUUUAUCUGGGGGAUAGCCCGAAGAAAUUCGGAUUAAUACCGCAUAAAAUCACAGAGCCGCAUGGUUCAAUGAUCAAACAUUCAUGGGAUAGAGAUGGGCAUGCGUGUCAUUAGUUAGUUGGCGGGGUAACGGCCCACCAAGACCGCGAUGACUAGGGGAUCUGAGAGGAUGGCCCCCCACACUGGUACUGAGACACGGACCAGACUCCUACGGGAGGCAGCAGUAAGGAAUAUUGGUCAAUGGAGGCAACUCUGAACCAGCCAUGCCGCGUGCAGGAAGACAGCCCUCUGGGUCGUAAACUGCUUUUAUUCGGGAAUAAACCUAUCUACGUGUAGAUAGCUGAAUGUACCGAAGGAAUAAGGAUCGGCUAACUCCGUGCCAGCAGCCGCGGUAAUACGGAGGAUCCAAGCGUUAUCCGGAUUUAUUGGGUUUAAAGGGUGCGUAGGCGGCCUGUUAAGUCAGGGGUGAAAGACGGUAGCUCAACUAUCGCAGUGCCCUUGAUACUGAUGGGCUUGAAUACACUAGAGGUAGGCGGAAUGUGACAAGUAGCGGUGAAAUGCAUAGAUAUGUCACAGAACACCGAUUGCGAAGGCAGCUUACUAUGGUGUCAUUGACGCUGAGGCACGAAAGCGUGGGGAUCAAACAGGAUUAGAUACCCUGGUAGUCCACGCCCUAAACGAUGAAUACUCGCUGUUUGCGAUAUACAGUUAGCGGCUAAGCGAAAGCGUUAAGUAUUCCACCUGGGGAGUACGCCCGCAAGGGUGAAACUCAAAUGAAUUGACGG